This 228-nucleotide long non-coding RNA is filed under the name Elaeis guineensis (African oil palm). RNAcentral describes it as "long non-coding RNA (EGUI_LNC002939)". The record is from RNAcentral. Lineage: Eukaryota; Viridiplantae; Streptophyta; Magnoliopsida; Arecales; Arecaceae.
AGAUGAUUAGAAGAAUUGAAUUUAUAAUUAUGCAAGUUUCAUCAAUUCUUAUAAAAAUUAGAUCAUUAUGGAUGAUGAGAUUAUAAGAAAUUUUAUAGGGCUUGCAUAUUUUUUAAGGCUUGCUCUAGAGAAUAUGCGGCCAUCACGUAUCCGACCUCGAUAUUAGGUUCGGGGCAUAACAGGCUAAGUCCUCCUCCUUCGUAAGUCUCUCCGCUUAUAGUCUCAGCC